GCUACAGGCUUAACAACGAUGCAAGUCGAGGGGAAACGAUAUUGGAAGCUUGCUUCCGAUAGGCGUCGACCGGCGCACGGGUGAGUAACGCGUAUCCAACCUGCCCAUCACUUGGGGAUAACCUUGCGAAAGUAAGACUAAUACCCAAUGACGUCUCUAGAAGACAUCUGAAAGAGAUUAAAGAUUUAUCGGUGAUGGAUGGGGAUGCGUCUGAUUAGCUUGUUGGCGGGGUAACGGCCCACCAAGGCGACGAUCAGUAGGGGGUUCUGAGAGGAAGGUCCCCCACAUUGGAACUGAGACACGGUCCAAACUCCUACGGGAGGCAGCAGUGAGGAAUAUUGGUCAAUGGACGAGAGUCUGAACCAGCCAAGUAGCGUGCAGGAUGACGGCCCUAUGGGUUGUAAACUGCUUUUAUAAGGGAAUAAAGUGGGAGUCGUGACUCUUUUUGCAUGUACCUUAUGAAUAAGGACCGGCUAAUUCCGUG
Molecule: ribosomal RNA, 484 nt
Filed under: uncultured bacterium
Lineage: Bacteria
Description: bacterial SSU rRNA
Rfam family: Bacterial small subunit ribosomal RNA
Source: RNAcentral